AGCAGCGUGGCUCAGUGGAAAGAGCCUGGGCUUCGAAGUCAGAGGUCAUGGGUUCGACUCCCUGCUCUGCCA
Ornithorhynchus anatinus (platypus) is the source of this 72-nucleotide non-coding RNA. Lineage: Eukaryota; Metazoa; Chordata; Mammalia; Monotremata; Ornithorhynchidae. The record is from Rfam.